Molecule: ribosomal RNA, 553 nt
Filed under: Pseudomonas synxantha
Lineage: Bacteria; Pseudomonadati; Pseudomonadota; Gammaproteobacteria; Pseudomonadales; Pseudomonadaceae
Description: bacterial SSU rRNA
Source: RNAcentral
UAAUGCCUAGGAAUCUGCCUGGUAGUGGGGGAUAACGUUCGGAAACGGACGCUAAUACCGCAUACGUCCUACGGGAGAAAGCAGGGGACCUUCGGGCCUUGCGCUAUCAGAUGAGCCUAGGUCGGAUUAGCUAGUUGGUGRGGUAAUGGCUCACCAAGGCGACGAUCCGUAACUGGUCUGAGAGGAUGAUCAGUCACACUGGAACUGAGACACGGUCCAGACUCCUACGGGAGGCAGCAGUGGGGAAUAUUGGACAAUGGGCGAAAGCCUGAUCCAGCCAUGCCGCGUGUGUGAAGAAGGUCUUCGGAUUGUAAAGCACUUUAAGUUGGGAGGAAGGKUUGUAGAUUAAUACUCUGCAAUUUUGACGUUACCGACAGAAUAAGCACCGGCUAACUCUGUGCCAGCAGCCGCGGUAAUACAGAGGGUGCAAGCGUUAAUCGGAAUUACUGGGCGUAAAGCGCGCGUAGGUGGUUUGUUAAGUUGGAUGUGAAAUCCCCGGGCUCAACCUGGGAACUGCAUUCAAAACUGACUGACUAGAGUAUGGUAGAGGGUG